RNAcentral lists this ribosomal RNA (839 nucleotides) under uncultured bacterium. RNAcentral describes it as "bacterial SSU rRNA". It matches the Rfam family "Bacterial small subunit ribosomal RNA", at positions 30 to 872 of the family's 1533-position model. The record is from RNAcentral.
CGAACGCUGGCGGCAUGGAUUAGGCAUGCAAGUCGAACGAGAUCUUGAAUGUUCAAGUAGCAAUAUGAGAACAUUCAGGUGAGAGUGGCGAAAGGGUGAGGAAUACGUGAGUAACCUGCCCCCAAGUUGGGAAUAGCUCCGGGAAACUGGAAUUAAUACCGAAUGUGGAAUAUCCUUCGCAUGAGGGAUACUCUAAAGAUUUAUUGCUUGGGGAGGGGCUCGCGUCCCAUCAGCUAGUUGGCGGGGUGAUAGCCCACCAAGGCGACGACGGGUAGCUGGUCUGAGAGGAUGGUCAGCCACACUGGGACUGAGAUACUGCCCAGACUCCUACGGGAGGCUGCAGUCGAGAAUCUUCCGCAAUGCGCGAAAGCGUGACGGAGCAAUGCCGCGUGAGGGAUGAAGGUCUUCGGAUUGUAAACCUCUGUCACCGGGGAGGAAUAAAUGACUGUACCCGGAGAGGAAGCCACGGCUAACUACGUGCCAGCAGCCGCGGUAAUACGUAGGUGGCGAGCGUUGUUCGGAUUUAUUGGGCGUAAAGGGUCCGCAGGGGGCCUGUUAAGUCUGAUGUGAAAUCCCGAAGCUCAACUUCGGAAUUGCAUUGGAAACUGGCGGGCUAGAGCAUCGGAGAGGAGAUUGGAAUUCCAGGUGUAGCGGUGGAAUGCGUAGAUAUCUGGAAGAACACCGAAGGCGAAGGCAGAUCUCUGGACGAUUGCUGACCCUCAGGGACGAAAGCGUGGGUAUCAAACAGGAUUAGAUACCCUGGUAGUCCACGCUGUAAACGUUGUGAACUUGACGUGGGGGGUUUCCUCCGUGUCGGAGCUAACGCGAUAAGUCACCGC